RNAcentral lists this transfer RNA (84 nucleotides) under Candidatus Zixiibacteriota bacterium. RNAcentral describes it as "tRNA-Ser". It matches the Rfam family "tRNA". From Rfam's summary of the family: Transfer RNA (tRNA) molecules are approximately 80 nucleotides in length. Their secondary structure includes four short double-helical elements and three loops (D, anti-codon, and T loops). RNAcentral also lists the same sequence under 1 other name. The record is from RNAcentral. Lineage: Bacteria; Pseudomonadati; Candidatus Zixiibacteriota.
GGAGGACUAGUCCUAAUUGGUAAGGCAGCGGUCUUGAAAACCGCCGGCCGCAAGGCCAUGGGGGUUCGAGUCCCUCGUCCUCCG